CAAUAGCGUAUAUUAAAGUUGUUGCAGUUAAAAAGCUCGUAGUUGAAUUUUUGCUUGCCGCCGAUGUCGGAACUUCCGUACGUUCGGCGGCGUGCAUCCUUGGGUGGAACCUGUGUGGCAUUAGGUUGUCGUGCAGGGGAUGCUCAUCGUUUACUGUGAAAAAAUUAGAGUGUUCAAAGCAGGCUUACGCCGUUGAAUAUAUUAGCAUGGAAUAAUAAGAUAGGACCUUGGUACUAUUUUGUUGGUUUGCGCACCGAGGUAAUGAUUAACAGGGACAGUUGGGGGUAUUCGUAUCCCAUUGUCAGAGGUGAAAUUCUUGGAUUUCUGGAAGACGAACUACUGCGAAAGCAUUUACCAAGGAUGUUUUCAUUA
RNAcentral lists this ribosomal RNA (372 nucleotides) under uncultured eukaryote. RNAcentral describes it as "partial 18S ribosomal RNA". It matches the Rfam family "Eukaryotic small subunit ribosomal RNA", at positions 592 to 975 of the family's 1831-position model. The record is from RNAcentral.